UACGAAGGGGGCUAGCGUUGUUCGGAAUCACUGGGCGUAAAGCGCACGUAGGCGGCGCGUUAAGUCAGGGGUGAAAUCCUGGAGCUCAACUCCAGAACUGCCUUUGAUACUGGCGUGUUCGAGUGUGGGAGAGGUUGGUGGAACUCCGUGUGUAAGGGUGAAAUUCGUAGAUAUUCGGAAGGACACCAUGGGCGAAGGCGGCCAACUGGCCCAUUACUGACGCUGAGGUGCGAAAGCGUGGGGAGCAAACAGG
RNAcentral lists this ribosomal RNA (253 nucleotides) under uncultured bacterium. RNAcentral's name for it is "partial 16S ribosomal RNA". It matches the Rfam family "Bacterial small subunit ribosomal RNA", at positions 524 to 776 of the family's 1533-position model. The record is from RNAcentral.